GAAACCAGAACAAUAAAAUGUACCUGAAUUUGCUUCUGCACUGAUUUCCUCAGCCCCAGAUGGACUGUGGCCAGCUUAACAGACAAGAACUCUGCCCUCGGUGGGAUUCUUGCUGCAACAAGUAAUUUUUCAAAUCACAUCAUAUCGUUUUUGGGCUGAGCCCAGAUGUGAGCUACAGCUCCAGUGCCAUGCCUGUCUGCCAGCCACCAUGCUCCCCGUUGCUGUGGUCAUGGACUUACCCUCUGAAACGGAAGAACUUCGGCUCCGAGAUCGCCGCUGGCUGGGGCUUCGGGACCUCCUGUGAUCACUCGGAGAGGCCAGGUGGCGUUCUUUCGACUUCAUCUGGCCUGGUGCUGGAAUAUGAAGAACAAGGCUUCUAACAGUUCACUACCUGAAAACUGCAGUAGCUGCUGCUCAGUCGGCUCAUUUUCAGAAGAACUUUACGUAAAACACCAUUGUUGCUGAGGCUCAUUCUGAUAAGUAAAGACCACCUAAUGGCACUUACUUUUGCGAUCACCUUGCGCAAAUUGUAUUUCAAUUUGCCGGCCACAUACCCACUUCCUGUUGAGGUUGUAGAGUGCGUCUUCCGCAUCUCGAACAUCUUCAAACAUAACCAGCUGUUAAGGACACUUUGGACAUCGGAUAGUAAGAAAAAAUAUUUCUAAGAUAUUAUUCACAUGUGAAAUUAAAUUAAAAAGAAAAGCAAAUCCUGGCUCCAAUAUGAAUAAUCAGAAAAGCUUUUAUAUUUUAUUAUGAACAAAAUGCCCUCUUGUGAUUUAGAAACAUGAAUAGAAGAACAGGACCGUAGAUACAAUAUAGCAGUAUAAUUUGAAACAUAAGAAAAAUCCCAAAUUAGCAUUAUAUAAGAUAAACUGUUUAGGACUUACUCCAGGGUUUUCACUGAAAAUAUCAGCUUGCACUGUUAUUCUGAGAGGGAAAGUACUCUGUCAUUAAAAGCCGAGUUACGAGAUUUAGGAGAAAUGACUCACUGUAAACAAAACUGAAAUAAUAAAAGUAAGUAAAAACAAA
This is an RNA transcript of Meriones unguiculatus (Mongolian gerbil), 1029 nucleotides long. RefSeq lists it as uncharacterized. The transcript is spliced from 3 exons. The record is from RefSeq and is a predicted model, not a curated record. Lineage: Eukaryota; Metazoa; Chordata; Mammalia; Rodentia; Muridae.